This 253-nucleotide ribosomal RNA is filed under the name uncultured bacterium. RNAcentral's name for it is "partial 16S ribosomal RNA". It matches the Rfam family "Bacterial small subunit ribosomal RNA", at positions 524 to 776 of the family's 1533-position model. The record is from RNAcentral.
UACGGAGGGGGCUAGCGUUGUUCGGAAUUACUGGGCGUAAAGCGCACGUAGGCGGCUUUGCAAGUUAGAGGUGAAAGCCCGGGGCUCAACUCCGGAAUUGCCUUUAAAACUGCAUCGCUAGAAUUGUGGAGAGGUAAGUGGAAUUCCGAGUGUAGAGGUGAAAUUCGUAGAUAUUCGCAAGAACACCAGUGGCGAAGGCGGCUUACUGGACCGGUUCUGACGCUGAGGCGCGAAAGCGUGGGGAGCAAACAGG